Long non-coding RNA from Panthera uncia (snow leopard), 2741 nucleotides. RefSeq lists it as uncharacterized. The record is from RefSeq and is a predicted model, not a curated record. The transcript is spliced from 3 exons. NCBI's taxonomy places the organism in Eukaryota, Metazoa, Chordata, Mammalia, Carnivora, Felidae.
UGAAGUCUCCAGGCCCCAGAGGGCCGGGGUUGCGGGACUGGGCCAUGCCGCCCUGGGCGGCCCAGAGAUGGGAGCAGCAAGAGGCUCCUCCUCUUUCCUCCCCGACGCUGGGGCAGUGGCGACGACUUGGUCCUCUUCUCCCAGGAGCCUCCUGGCAGGGCUGGGCCUGGACCUCUAGUCAGGUCCGGAGAGUCCGGUAACGCGAAGACUUGGGGCUGGGAGGCUGGACUUCGGGGGAGGGAGUCUUCCCCUAUUUUUCAGGGAUCCUCAAAUGCAGUGUUCUCCUGCCUUCAUUGGACAUUGCUCAGAGCUGUUCUCUCUGGUUCCUAUACCUGAGGGUCACCCUCCACCCACCCCCACCCCCAUCCAGCGGUGAUCUUGCAACCUCGACAGCCUUGCUGGGUGGGAGUGGAGUGUUAGUUAUACCGCGGGCCGUCAUUUUAUACUUGGGAGAAAGAGGCCCAGAGAGAGAAAGUGACUGGUUACAUCCCAGCCUCCAGCUCCCCUCCUACCCUCCACCCUUUCCGUCUCAGCUCUCAUAGCCAACCCUGCCCAAGCAUGCUUGUGCAGGAAGAAUUAAGUAUGUGUGAGAUCAAUGGUGACCUCCUUUGGCUCUAGCUGCUAUAGCAGCAGCUGCACCAGUUGACCAAGCUCCCCUUUCACUGCCUUUUGCUGGUCCUCAGGCCCCCCAGCCACUUACAGCCCUGCAUGGAAAAAGAGCUGGGCACCUCAUGCCUGAGGACUCAGAAGAUCCUGUAUCUGAAAACUCAGAUUCCACCUGCAGGAGCCCAGAGACCCUGAGGAAUUUGUGUUGUUGCACAGCUCAUGGUUCGGUUGGGGUAAGGUCAGUUUUCAUAUCCAGUGAGCUCUGUCACUUUUGGGAGUGAGCCACUGAUAACCACUUUGGCAUCGGUUUUCCCAUCCAGCGAGCCAUGCUGGCCCUCUGGUUGUUGCUCCCGCACCACAUGCAUUCAUUCAACAUAAAUAUUUUCUUUGCCUUGAUCAUCAGUCCUUACACUAAUAUCUGGAAGAUAAUGGCAAGACCCAGAGUUCCUGUCCUCCAUCAGGAGAGAAAGCUGAGACCUGAAAGAUGAAGACAGAGACAGCCACAAAAAGAGGUGAGGGGGAAUGUAUUUUUUUCUUCCUUCAAACAAAUAUUUUUAAUUUUUUAAAGUAAACUCUACCCCCAUCUCGGGGCUCAAACUCACGACCCCAACAUCAAGAGAUGUGUCCUCUACCAACUGAGCCAACCAGGCACCCUGGAGGAAGGUAUUUCAUGCAGAGAAAAAAAAAAAAAGCGCAAAGACUCAGGAAUAGGAAUGGGUUUUGGGUGUACAAGGAGCACCAAGGAGGCUAUUGUGACAGAGGCAUAUUGAGUAAGGGAGAAAAUGGUAGACUUGAGGUCACAGUGGAAGGAAGGGAGGGAGUUGGCUGUGGUAAAGACUAUGGAUUUUAUUCUAAGAGGAAUUGCCUAGAAAGGCACGGAGGGUUUUCCCAUGGAGGGAAAAGCAACCUGUGUUUAUAUGUUUGAAAAGAUCCCAUCUGCUGCUGUUUGGAGAAAGGACUGGAUUGUAGGGGGACAGAGUGGAAGCCCAGAAUCCAGUGUCAUUAGGAGACUACUACUGAGAUCCAGGGAGAGACGAUAGGCUGCUAGCUCUAGGGUGUGGGGUGGAGACGGAGAGAAUAGAUCCAAAUUACGUUUUGUAGGCAGACAGAACAGGUUUUGAUGGUGGGUUAGAUGUGGUAAGUAAAGAAGGAAUCAAGGGUAUGGUGGUGCAUUUACUGAAAUGAAGACAGGAGAAAAACAGGUGUAUAUGGUGUUGGCGGAGAUUAAAAGCUCUGUUUUGGAGAAAGUAAGUUUGACAUGCCUGCUAGGCAUCUGUGUGGUGAUAUCAGAAGAACAAAUGGAGACAGCCUGGAGUUCAGGGGAGAAAGGCAGGCUAGAGAUACAAUGUUGGGAAUCAGCAUAUAGCUGAUAAUCAAGCCAUGGGAUUAGAAAAGAUGGAAAAGAAAAAAAAAGAUAAAGUCCUCCCCACUUUGAGAGGUGUGGUUGAGGAAAAGGGAGUUAGCAAAGGAGGAGCCGAUAAGUAUGAAGUAACGAGUAUGAAGUAGAAGUAUGAAGAAACGAGGGGAGUGUGUUGUGGAAAAAGAGGAUUUCAAGGAAGGAGGGUUACCUGUAUCAGAGGCUCAAUAAAUGAGUGUCAGCUGCCCCGUGAUGAAGCAAUGCCAAGUGAAAUAGUGCUCUGGAAGCUGGAAGACCAUUUCAGCAUCUCUACAAAUUGUCCCUGUAAGCUUAGAGUUGUUAAGGAGAAAGAGAGAAAGGACCAUAAAGCUUCUUUUAAGUAUCAAAUGAGAUUAUGGCCGAAAACGCAUUCUGUAAGCCGCCCAGUCCUGUGAUAACGUCACUGUUGGGUUUUUAUUAAUGAGCUGGCGAUUAGAAUUAAGACCACCGGUGAGGGAGAGCGCAUAAGACGUACAGAAAGAGUUGUCAAGAAGUAAAUUUCAUAAUGAAGAAAACUCCUGAGAGCUUGCGUCAAAACCAGGCUUGGGGUUAGGGGAGAGAUACGGGAGCAAUGCUGCGCUUCAUUUAGAAUUUAACCCUGCGGCGAUAGCAGUAAGAAAAACAGGGCGGAUAGAAAACUCGAAGCUGAGAAGGAGGAAGUCCGGCCCCAAACGUGAGAUAUCUCUGGCUCCGCCUCCCUCCUCCACGGGCCAAUCAGGAUCCAACUGACAGGGCGGAG